This 253-nucleotide ribosomal RNA is filed under the name uncultured bacterium. RNAcentral describes it as "partial 16S ribosomal RNA". It matches the Rfam family "Bacterial small subunit ribosomal RNA", at positions 524 to 776 of the family's 1533-position model. The record is from RNAcentral.
UACGGGGGGUGCGAGCGUUGUCCGGAUUCACUGGGCGUAAAGGGCGCGUAGGCGGCAAUUCAAGUCAGUUGUGAAAUCUCCGAGCUUAACUCGGAACGGUCAACUGAUACUGUUUUGCUAGAGUACAGAAGGGGCAAUCGGAAUUCUUGGUGUAGCGGUGAAAUGCGUAGAUAUCAAGAGGAACACCUGAGGUGAAGACGGGUUGCUGGGCUGAUACUGACGCUGAGGCGCGAAAGCUAGGGUAGCAAACGGG